UACCUUAACCUGCAGUAUGUGUGACG
This 26-nucleotide non-coding RNA is filed under the name Mus musculus (house mouse). Lineage: Eukaryota; Metazoa; Chordata; Mammalia; Rodentia; Muridae. The record is from RNAcentral.